GAGUUUGAUCAUGGCUCAGGAUGAACGCUGGCGGCGUGCCUAACACAUGCAAGUCGAGCGAGAAGGUUAUGACUGAUUCUUCGGAUGAAGGAUUAACUGGAAAGCGGCGGACGGGUGAGUAACGCGUGGGCAACCUGCCCUGUACAGAGGGAUAGCCACUGGAAACGGUGAUUAAUACCUCAUAUUACUGAAUUAUCGCAUGGUAAAUCAGUGAAAGCUCCGGCGGUACAGGAUGGGCCCGCGUCUGAUUAGCUAGUUGGUAAGGUAACGGCUUACCAAGGCGACGAUCAGUAGCCGACCUGAGAGGGUGAUCGGCCACACUGGAACUGAGACACGGUCCAGACUCCUACGGGAGGCAGCAGUGGGGAAUAUUGCACAAUGGGCGCAAGCCUGAUGCAGCAACGCCGCGUGAGCGAUGAAGGCCUUCGGGUCGUAAAGCUCUGUCCUAUGGGAAGAAUAAUGACGGUACCAUAGGAGGAAGCCCCGGCUAAUUACGUGCCAGCAGCCGCGGUAAUACGUAAGGGGCAAGCGUUAUCCGGAAUAACUGGGCGUAAAGGGUGCGUAGGUGGUUUGUUAAGUCAGGGGUGAAAGGCUACGGCUCAACCGUAGUAAG
This 613-nucleotide ribosomal RNA is filed under the name uncultured Bacillota bacterium. RNAcentral's name for it is "bacterial SSU rRNA". It matches the Rfam family "Bacterial small subunit ribosomal RNA", at positions 9 to 622 of the family's 1533-position model. The record is from RNAcentral. Lineage: Bacteria; Bacillati; Bacillota.